GGCAAACAAGUAAAUAAUUGUUUCCAAACUUUUCCUGACGCAAGAAGUCCAUCGAAACGAUUGGCUACUAGUUUGCCAUAUGAGGAUGCAGUUUUUUCUGUAUUCAUUUUGGUAACUCAUAAAAUACAUUUUUUGUUUAUAA
Xenia sp. Carnegie-2017 is the source of this 142-nucleotide long non-coding RNA. RefSeq lists it as uncharacterized. The transcript is spliced from 2 exons. NCBI's taxonomy places the organism in Eukaryota, Metazoa, Cnidaria, Anthozoa, Malacalcyonacea, Xeniidae. The record is from RefSeq and is a predicted model, not a curated record.